CAACGGUCUCUUCGGAGGCAGUGGCAGACGGGUGAGUAAUGCAUGGGAAUCUACCGUUCUCUACGGAAUAACUCAGGGAAACUUGUGCUAAUACCGUAUACGCCCUUUUGGGGAAAGAUUUAUCGGAGAAUGAUGAGCCCAUGUUGGAUUAGCUAGUUGGUAGGGUAAAGGCCUACCAAGGCGACGAUCCAUAGCUGGUCUGAGAGGAUGAUCAGCCACACUGGGACUGAGACACGGCCCAGACUCCUACGGGAGGCAGCAGUGGGGAAUAUUGGACAAUGGGCGCAAGCCUGAUCCAGCCAUGCCGCGUGAGUGAUGAAGGCCCUAGGGUUGUAAAGCUCUUUCACCGGUGAAGAUAAUGACGGUAACCGGAGAAGAAGCCCCGGCUAACUUCGUGCCAGCAGCCGCGGUAAUACGAAGGGGGCUAGCGUUGUUCGGAUUUACUGGGCGUAAAGCGCACGUAGGCGGACUUUUAAGUCAGGGGUGAAAUCCCGGGGCUCAACCCCGGAACUGCCUUUGAUACUGGAAGUCUUGAGUAUGGAAGAGGUGAGUGGAAUUGCCAG
This 563-nucleotide ribosomal RNA is filed under the name Sinorhizobium sp. MYb236. Its description in RNAcentral is "bacterial SSU rRNA". It matches the Rfam family "Bacterial small subunit ribosomal RNA", at positions 64 to 673 of the family's 1533-position model. The record is from RNAcentral. Lineage: Bacteria; Pseudomonadati; Pseudomonadota; Alphaproteobacteria; Hyphomicrobiales; Rhizobiaceae.